RNAcentral lists this ribosomal RNA (361 nucleotides) under uncultured bacterium. RNAcentral describes it as "partial 16S ribosomal RNA". It matches the Rfam family "Bacterial small subunit ribosomal RNA", at positions 338 to 696 of the family's 1533-position model. The record is from RNAcentral.
CCUACGGGAGGCAGCAGUGAGGAAUAUUGGUCAAUGGGCGGGAGCCUGAUCCAGCUAAGUCGCGUGAGGGAAGACGGUCCUACGGAUUGUAAACCCCUUUUGCCGGGGAGCAACGGGGUCCUUGCGAGGGCCCGACGAGAGUACCCGGAGAACAAGCAUCGGCUAACUCCGUGCCGGCAGCCGCGGUAAUACGGAGGAUGCGAGCGUUAUCGGGAUUUAUUGGGUUUAAGGGGGGGGUAGGCGGGCGGUUAAGUCAGCGUGAAAAUGUCGGGGCUCACCCCCGGACUGCAGUUGAAACUGGCGGGCUAGAGUGGGGGAGAGGUAUGCGGAAUGCGUGGUGUAGCGGUGAAAUGCGUAGAUA